AGUAAUACAUAAGUAACCUGCCCUAGACAGGGGGAUAACUAUUGGAAACGAUAGCUAAGACCGCAUAGGUACGGACACUGCAUGGUGACCGUAUUAAAAGUGCCUCAAAGCACUGGUAAGGAUGGACUUAUGGCGCAUUAGCUGGUUGGCGGGGUAACGGCCCACCAAGGCGACGAUGCGUAGCCGACCUGAGAGGGUGACCGGCCACACUGGGACUGAGACACGGCCCAG
Molecule: ribosomal RNA, 231 nt
Filed under: uncultured bacterium
Lineage: Bacteria
Description: partial 16S ribosomal RNA
Rfam family: Bacterial small subunit ribosomal RNA
Source: RNAcentral